GUGCCAGCCGCCGCGGUAACACCGGCAGCCCGAGUGAUGGCCGAUAUUAUUGGGCCUAAAGCGUCCGUAGCUGGCCGCGCAAGUUCGUCGGGAAAUCCACUCGCUUAACGAGUGGGCGUCCGGCGAAAACUGUGCGGCUUGGGACCGGAAGAUCCAAGGGGUACGUCCGGGGUAGGAGUGAAAUCCCGUAAUCCUGGACGGACCACCGAUGGCGAAAGCACCUUGGAAGGACGGAUCCGACAGUGAGGGACGAAAGCUAGGGUCUCGAACCGGAUUAGAAACCCCUGUAGUCC
Molecule: ribosomal RNA, 293 nt
Filed under: uncultured prokaryote
Description: partial 16S ribosomal RNA
Rfam family: Archaeal small subunit ribosomal RNA
Source: RNAcentral